AUGUCGUGAUGAGGACACUUCCUCAAAAAUUCCUUAAUCCGCUCCCAUGCGUCAUAUAAUGACUCCCCAUCAGUCUGAAAGAAUUUAUUAAUCUCUUAUCUCACCCU
This is a small nucleolar RNA of Humulus lupulus (European hop), 107 nucleotides long. The record is from RefSeq and is a predicted model, not a curated record. Lineage: Eukaryota; Viridiplantae; Streptophyta; Magnoliopsida; Rosales; Cannabaceae.